UGCGCAUAUGCCCACUGCUGUAGCCUGAAGGUGAAAAGAUCUAAGACCAUGCGUAUAGGACAUACCAUGUGCUUCAUAUGCAGAUGGUCACUUCUGGGCACACCAUCCUUCCUGGCCAAGUCGCGUAAAA
This is a long non-coding RNA of Ornithodoros turicata, 130 nucleotides long. RefSeq lists it as uncharacterized. The transcript has 3 exons. The record is from RefSeq and is a predicted model, not a curated record. NCBI's taxonomy places the organism in Eukaryota, Metazoa, Arthropoda, Arachnida, Ixodida, Argasidae.